Molecule: ribosomal RNA, 1056 nt
Filed under: Triticum aestivum (bread wheat)
Lineage: Eukaryota; Viridiplantae; Streptophyta; Magnoliopsida; Poales; Poaceae
Description: partial small subunit ribosomal RNA
Source: RNAcentral
AUGUUCUUGCCAGUUGAUGCACAAAGGAUCCUUGCAAUUCCUUUAUCACAACAUGAUAUGUCGGAUUUUGUCGCUUGGAGCUAUUCAAAGAAUGGAACUUUUUCUGUUUGAUCAGCCUAUGCAGUGCAAUGGGAACACCAAUACGGGGGAAAAUUAAGAAGAACCGAUGAUAUGGGACAUAUGACUAUCAAUCCCAUUUGGAGUGAGAUUUGGAAAUUAUCUUGUCCAUCGAACGUUAAAAUUUUCAUUUGGCGCACACUGCAUGAUACCCUCUCCUGUAGAGUUAAUUUGACGAAUAGACAUAUAAAGGUUACCCCCAAUUGUCCGGCAUGUUCCUUUGGAUCAGAGGAUACAAAGCAUAUAUUAUUUCAGUGUCAUAAAGCAAAGGAGGUUUGAAAAAAACUGGGUCUAGAUCAGGUCACUAAAAGAGCGUGCGAAAUUGAUUAUGCUGGUGAGGCGGUGCUUGAAUUUUUGCUUUCUAUGCCUAAAUGGGAGCUUACGAUCUUGGGUAUUCGAAAUGUCCGUGAAUUAAUUGCAAUUUCAACUUGGUAUUUAUGGUGGGAGAGGCGAAAACUGGUCCAUAAAGAGAAAACCCAAGAUGCUAACCAAAUCGCCAUGGGAAUUCGUGCAAUUACAUUAAACUAUGUUUUGGCUAUAUCACCAAAGGCUACGAUGAAAAGACCAAGGGGGUUUGUAAAACUUAAUGUGGAUGCUUCUUUUGAUCAUGACCGGCUCAGGGGAACGGCUGGUGAUGAUAAAGGAAAAUUCAUUGCAAGGGGGAAUUGGAGAAUUCAUUGGUGCAUGGACAUUCUGACGGUUGAAGCUAUGACACUUAGAUAUGGUCUAUCUAUUGCUCAAAGGGCAGGCUGUAACCGCUUAGUUAUUAACUCAGAUAACAUUGAGGUCAUCGAAACCAUGAACAAUGGAGGACGGUCAUCUAGUACAGCGGCGGCAGUGUUUGACAAUUGUUAUUUUUUAGCAUGUGACUUCCUAUUACUAAAUUUGAGCAUCAUAAUAGAGAAGCAAAUAGGGUCACACAUGAACUUGCUAAGUUAG